RNAcentral lists this unclassified non-coding RNA (43 nucleotides) under Hygrobates longiporus. RNAcentral describes it as "partial miscellaneous RNA". Lineage: Eukaryota; Metazoa; Arthropoda; Arachnida; Trombidiformes; Hygrobatidae. The record is from RNAcentral.
CACUGAAUAAUCAAAAAUUUUCAUUCACUUUCAAAACGUUUUC